RNAcentral lists this ribosomal RNA (319 nucleotides) under uncultured eukaryote. RNAcentral describes it as "partial 18S ribosomal RNA". It matches the Rfam family "Eukaryotic small subunit ribosomal RNA", at positions 1470 to 1796 of the family's 1831-position model. The record is from RNAcentral.
CCCUUAGAUGUCCUGGGCCGCACGCGUGCUACACUGACGCCUACAGCGAGUACUUCCCAGCCCCGAGAGGUGGCUGGUAAUCAGCAAUAGGCGUCGUGAUGGGGAUAGAUCUUUGGAAUUAUGGAUCUUGAACGAGGAAUGCCUAGUAAGCGCAGGUCAUUAGCCUGCGCUGAUUAAGUCCCUGCCCUUUGUACACACCACCCGUCGCUCCUACCGAUUUCGAGUGGUCCGGUGAAUCUUUCGGACUGCGCGCGGCCUCGUGCCGUGUCGCGGAAAGUCAGGUAAACCUUAUCACUUAGAGGAAGGAGAAGUCGUAACA